RNAcentral lists this ribosomal RNA (253 nucleotides) under uncultured bacterium. RNAcentral describes it as "partial 16S ribosomal RNA". It matches the Rfam family "Bacterial small subunit ribosomal RNA", at positions 524 to 776 of the family's 1533-position model. The record is from RNAcentral.
UACGGGGGGGGUAAGCGUUGUUCGGAAUUACUGGGCGUAAAGCGCACGUAGGCGGAUCGGUCAGUUAGGGGUGAAAUCCCAGAGCUCAACUCUGGAACUGCCUUUAAUACUGCCGAUCUCGAGUCCGGAAGAGGUGAGUGGAAUUCCGAGUGUAGAGGUGAAAUUCGUAGAUAUUCGGAGGAACACCAGUGGCGAAGGCGGCUCACUGGUCCGGUACUGACGCUGAGGUGCGAAAGCGUGGGGAGCAAACAGG